GCCAUUGUUGGUUAACUUCUCCGAUCGAUCAUGUUGUCUUCCCAACCUUUGAUCAUCUCUCAAUUUAAGUUCAAACCAAAUGGCCACCGAUUCAGUCACCCCUCAUUUAACAAACUCAUCACUCAAUCAUCUUUGAUCAUCACUAAUACCAAGUAUUCUCAACAUGCCAUAUGUUUCAAACUAUAUGGAUUCCAUCACCACUCAACUCUUGGCAAGAAACAAGGCAGAGCAUCUUCCUGCUCCUCCUUUUCUUCUUCUUCUUCUUCGACCACUCAUGAUCAUCAUUCAUGGACAUAUGAUGUCUUUCUCAGUUUUAGAGGAGAGGAUACACGCAACAAUUUCAUAGGCCAUUUGCACAGCAAUUUGGUCCGAAAAGGAAUCAAAAACCUUCAUAGACGAUGAAGGACUUGGAAGAGGAGAUGAGCUAUCACAUGCCCUUCAAAAAGCAAUUCAAGAGUCCAGAAUUUCUAUCGUCGUCUUUUCGGAGAAUUAUGCUUCCUCUAAGUAGUACUUGGAAGAACUCGUCAGCAUUCUUCACUGUAAAGAAUCAAAGCAACAGCUGGUUUACCUUUUUUUUUUACAAGGCAGAUCCAUCGGAUGUACGACAUCAAAGAGGUAGUUUUGGCAAAGCACUAGCUCACCACGAAAGCAGAUUAAAACACAACUUGGAGAAAGUCACGAGAUGGAGGGAAGCUCUUACAAAAGCAUCAAAUCUCUCUGGCCUGCGUUUUAUAGAUGGAAGAUCAGCACAACUUUUAGAUCGCAUUCAUUUAAGUGUGGCAAAGUACCCUGUUGGAAUAGAGUCUCGUGUAGAGGAUAUGCUUAAGCUUCUACGUGUUGGAGAAGAUGAUGUCCGCAUGGUGGGGAUAUGGGGAAUCGGUGGAAUCGGAAAGACAACAAUUGCUAAAGGUGUGUAUAAUUCAAUUGCUCAUAACUUUGAAGGUAGUAGAAUAAUCAUCACAACAAGAGAUAAGCGCUGGCUAAUUGCUCAUGAUGUCAAUCAUAUAUACAAAAUGAAGGAGUUGAGUCAUCAUGAAGCUUUAGAGCUCUUCAAGUUUAAUGCCUUUAAAGAAAACCAAAAAAUGGAUGAUUAUGUUGAAUUCAUUGAUAAUAUUACACUUUAUGCUCAAGGGCUUCCCAUAGCUUUGGAAGUUUUGGGUUCAUUUCUCCCUGGUAGAAAUGUAGAUCAGUGGAAAGUUGCAUUAGAUGGUUAUGGAAGAGAACCAAAGAAAAAGAUUCAAGAAAUUCUCAGAAGAAGUUAUGAUGCACUGGACGAUUUGACAAAAGAAAUUUUUCUUCACAUUGCAUGUUUCUUUAAAGGCAAAGCUAAGAACUACGUGAUAGAUAUACUAAGAGGAUGCGAUCUCAAUCCUGAAUAUGGUAUUGAAGUACUCACAGAAAAGGCCCUCAUAAGCAUCAAUGAAAAAAAAGAGAUUUUGAUGCAUGAUCUGCUAGAAGAAAUGGGGAAAGAAAUAAUUCGUCAAGAGUCUCCGACUGAGCCUGGAGAACGUAGCAGAUUGUGGCGACAUGAAGAUGUUCACCGAGUUUUUAUGGAAAACACAGGAUCAGAUAAAGUUCGAGGCAUCAUUGUCAGUCGCAUGAAUGGCAGGGGAGAAAAGAUACAUCUGAACAGUGAAAGCUUCUCAAAGAUGAAAAAUCUUCAAAUAUUUGUAACCCCUCGUGAUAUAUUCACUGGAGAUCAUACUAUGCAGAAUUUGAAAUCUAUCGACAUGUCAAAUUGCCGUGGUGCAAGAAAGAUUAGUGGCUUUGGCUGCAAGAAACUUGAGAAGUUUGAAAUUGUUGAAGAGAUGAGAUGCUUGAAAAGCCUGGACCUAGGGUGGACUGGCAUCAAAGGAUUUCCUUCAUCAUCAGUUAGAUACCUCAUUAAUCUUGAAGAGCUACGUUUGAAAGGAUGCUAUAGCCUAACAACUGUGCCCUGCAGCAUUCUUGAGUUAAAACAUCUGAAGCACCUUGACGUCUCGGAUUGCGACAAUUUGGUCACAUUUCCAACCAAGUGUGAGACGAGGACCACGAUUUUACGCUAUGAUUCUUUGUUCAUCAACUUGCGAAUUGCAGGAAUCUAG
Fragaria vesca subsp. vesca is the source of this 2084-nucleotide RNA transcript. It is a transcript of the gene named TMV resistance protein N-like, with no coding region annotated. The record is from RefSeq and is a predicted model, not a curated record. Lineage: Eukaryota; Viridiplantae; Streptophyta; Magnoliopsida; Rosales; Rosaceae. The transcript has 6 exons.